Molecule: small nuclear RNA, 107 nt
Organism: Cervus hanglu yarkandensis (Yarkand deer)
Lineage: Eukaryota; Metazoa; Chordata; Mammalia; Artiodactyla; Cervidae
Source: Ensembl
GUGCUCGCUUUGACAGCACAUAUACUAAAAUUGGAAUCAUAUGGAGAAGAUUAUCAUGACCCCUGUGCAGGGAUGACAUACAAAUUUGUGAAGUGUUUCAUAUUUUU